GACGAACGCUGGCGGCGUGCUUAAUACAUGCAAGUAGAACGCACAGUUUAUACUGUAGCUUGCUACACCAUAGACUGUGAGUUGCGAACGGGUGAGUAACGCGUAGGUAACCUGCCUGGUAGCGGGGGAUAACUAUUGGUAACGAUAGCUAACACCGCAUGAUAUUAAUUAUUGCAUGAUAAUUAAUUGAAAGGAGCAAUUGCACCACUACCAGAUGGACCUGCGUUGUAUUAGCUAGUAGGGGAGGUAACGGCUCACCUAGGCGACGGUGCAUAGCCGACCUGGGGAGGAGGACCGGCAACAUGGGACUGGGACCCCGCCCAAGCCCCCACGGGAGGGAACAGUAGGGGAUCUUCGGCAAUGGGCGAAAGUCUGAACGAACAAAGCCGGGGGGGGGAAGGAGGUUUUCGGGUCGUAAAGCUGUGUUGUAAGGGGAGGAAGGGUUUUGGGGUGGAAAGUUCACGCGAUGACGGUAUCUUACCAGAAAGCAACGGCUAACUACGUG
This 505-nucleotide ribosomal RNA is filed under the name uncultured bacterium. RNAcentral's name for it is "partial 16S ribosomal RNA". It matches the Rfam family "Bacterial small subunit ribosomal RNA", at positions 28 to 507 of the family's 1533-position model. The record is from RNAcentral.